CCCCACCGGCGCACCAGGGUGCAGGUUAGGCAGGUGAAGCACCUCCCCGGAAACGGAGCUGGAGCGCUCCUCCUGCCGGGCUCGGAUUGGAUCCAGCACUCCCAGGCUUCUCGAGCCAGUGGUGACAGCUGAAGCCAUGUGAGUUGGAUCCUGAAUGAGGCUUUAUCUCUGGCUCUUCGUCAUCGGCCACCGUCCACCAUCCACCAUGGCACCAGCUCCCUCGGCCAGCCGGGAUGGGACAGGCAACUGAGAGAGCCAGAGAGAUGAUGGUGCCUUUGCCCUGGACUGUGAGAGGAAUAGGACUUCGGGCUUCCAGCUGCCAAGCAGGUGGUGGGGGCUCCAGGCCAUGAUCUGCCCCCUCUAACCCUGGUGCUGCCCUCUGCCCUGACUUCCACCAGACCCGGCCAUGUCGGAAGGAGAGGCUCCUGCCCCGCGGGGCCGGGCGCUGCCCCCAGAUGUGCUGGCAGAGCAGGUGGAGUUGUGGUGGUCCCAGGAGCCGCGGCGCUCGGCACUCUGCUUUGCCAUGGCGGUGGGCCUCGUGGCUGGCUGCGGGGCAGGCGGCGUGGCACUGCUCGCCUCCACCAGCAGUCGCUCGGGCGAGUGGCGGCUGGCAGUGGGCACUGUGCUCUGCCUGCUGGCGCUGUUGGUUCUGGUUAAGCAGCUGAUGAGCUCAGCCGUGCAGGACAUGAACUGCGUACGCCAGCCCCAACACGUGGCCCUGCUGCGCAGCGGUGGCGGUGCCGACGCCCUCGUGGUGCUGCUCAGUGGCCUGGUGCUGCUGGUCACCGGCCUGACGCUGGCCGGGCUGGCCGCCGCCCCAGCCCCUGCCCGGCCACUGGCCGUCAUGUUGUCCGUGGGCAUCGCCCUGGCUGCCUCCGGCUCACUCUUGCUGCUGGGCUUGCUGCUGUAUCAGGUGGGCGUGAGUGGACACUGCCCUCCCCUGCGCGCAGCUGCCCCCUCCAUGCACAGUGACCACAGUGGCAGCGGCAGCAUCUUCAGCAUCUCAGGACGGCUCUCUGCUGGCCAGCGUCAUGAGACCACUUCCAGCAUCGCCAGCCUCAUCUGACCAAGCCGGAGCCCUUGCCACAGCUGCCUCAGCCUCAUGGACCUGUGCUGGCGUGAAACCACCUCCAUGGACUAAUCCACACACUGGCCUUCACUGCACCUGCCGCCCCUCAGGGAGUGGUUAUUAGAGAGACCGGCACAGCCAGGCAGCAGGCGUCACCGUGAAUUCCUCAUCACCAGUCUCAGCCGGGUCUGCAGUAGCUCAUCAGUUACAGUUUCCCUCGUCAGCUGCUCCCACAGUGACCCUCAAGUUACCUCCACUCCCUUCACAUCCUAGGUCACCUAACAUCACUCCCUGCAGGUGGCUUGACCUUCCACCUCGAGAGACUGAGAGUCCUAUGGAAAGAAGCCUUCACAUCCCUCCCACCAAAUCCCUCCUCCUUGCUCCUGUCCAGGCAAUGACCUUGGCAGCCCAGCUGAGGAAUUUGGACUUUGUCCUCAGGACUCUGAGAAACAUGGGACAAAUUUAAUCAGGGGAGUGAGAGUAGGAUUUGGGACUCACUGGCUGCUGUGUGGAACCAGGGUGAGCUCUCCAAGAAAAAGAAGAAGAAAUGGCCAAACAGUCCCAGAAGUGAUGUCUCCGCUGGCCCUAAGGGGUGGGAAGAGUGCCCCAGAAAGAAGAAAUAGCAGAAGGGCCUAGGGACAAGGGAACUUGGCUCCUUCAAGGAACUACAAAGGGCCCAGCCGGUGUGGCUCAGUGGUUGAGCAUCGAGUUAUGAACCAGAAGGUCACUGUUUGAUUCCCCAUUAAGGCACAUACCCAAUUGCAGGCUCGAUCCCC
RNA transcript from Myotis lucifugus (little brown bat), 1845 nucleotides. It is a transcript of the gene named transmembrane protein 125, with no coding region annotated. Lineage: Eukaryota; Metazoa; Chordata; Mammalia; Chiroptera; Vespertilionidae. The record is from RefSeq and is a predicted model, not a curated record. The transcript is spliced from 4 exons.